UCUAUUAGAAACUAACUCAAGUGUUCCAUCAUAAUGCCUUUUAGAUCAAAUAUUGUCCUUAACCAGUUUCAAAAUAACUCAAACCACCACACUUUCGCUGCGCACUCUGAUUUAAUUCAUUAAAUACUCUAAAGCCUCUAAAGAUUUAGGACCAAAAUAUCACUUUGCAUUAGGAGUAGGAAAAUUCAAAUUUCAAAACUUUAAUUGAGCAGAACCUCCAGAUCUCUCUGUCCUCAAUUUAUGUAGAGUAUACUAACCAUAACUAACCUUCAAGGCAUUAAUCAAGUUUAACGUCACUACAUAAUCUUCACAACCAUUUUAAGAUCCAAAAUAUCUAGGUUUAAUUUAAAAUAAGUUAACCUUGGAUUUUCUCAGCAAUUCAAUUAGACAAUCUAUAUUGAUUUUCUUUCCAAAAAGAUUUACUUCAAUUUCAAUGGGUUAGAAGUCAUUGAGCCAAUAUUACUAUGAAUAGAAUUAACUCCAUUAUCUUCCAAAUCUUUCUUCACUAAGAUUCUUAAUGUUUAACAUCAAUGCUACAUGUGAUAACUCAUAUAAGCAUCUCAAAAUCGAAAUCUCAACUCAAUAUUGUAUUUUACAAAGAUUCCUGGUUAGAUCAUAAAUCUAGACUUGCGUUCAAGUUAACACAUCCAAUAGUCUCCAACAACUAUGAAAAAAAAAAAAAAAAAAN
Molecule: long non-coding RNA, 688 nt
Filed under: Phoenix dactylifera (date palm)
Lineage: Eukaryota; Viridiplantae; Streptophyta; Magnoliopsida; Arecales; Arecaceae
Description: long non-coding RNA (PDAC_LNC012168)
Source: RNAcentral